This 253-nucleotide ribosomal RNA is filed under the name uncultured bacterium. RNAcentral describes it as "partial 16S ribosomal RNA". It matches the Rfam family "Bacterial small subunit ribosomal RNA", at positions 524 to 776 of the family's 1533-position model. The record is from RNAcentral.
UACGGAGGGUGCAAGCGUUACUCGGAAUCACUGGGCGUAAAGGGCGCGUAGGCGGCCUAGCAAGUCUGGUGUGAAAGCCCAGGGCUCAACCCUGGAAGGGCACUGGAAACUGUUAGGCUUGAGUUCCGGAGAGGAGGGGGGAAUUCCCGGUGUAGCGGUGAAAUGCGUAGAUAUCGGGUGGAAUACCGGUGGCGAAGGCGCCCCUCUGGACGGAAACUGACGCUGAGGCGCGCAACCGUGGGGAGCAAACAGG